Molecule: long non-coding RNA, 1268 nt
Filed under: Heterocephalus glaber (naked mole-rat)
Lineage: Eukaryota; Metazoa; Chordata; Mammalia; Rodentia; Bathyergidae
Description: lncRNA (ENSHGLG00100033749.1)
Source: RNAcentral
CACACUCGAUCGCUCCCAGCGUGAGUGGGGGCGGCAGCGAGUCCUGGAGAGCGUGCUCCCACGCGGCCACCCGCCCUGGUGAGAGCCGGGCCCCUGGCACAGCCUUUUAAAACUUCAUAAAUUAUAAACAAGCCGCCUUGGCCCUCACCAUAAAUUCCCCUUCUUGAGCCUGCAAUUAGUGUUAGGAAGCACCCAAGUCUAAACACAACCAAACGCCCUCUGAAGGACCCAACUGCCCAAGGUUGCAAACCUUUAUUUCCCAGUGCCACCCCCUCCCAAGCCAAGGUUUGCACACAGUCGCCUCCUCCCCCGCCACCGCCGGCAGUACACACUCGGCAGUACACACUCGGCUGGGUUCCCGCUCUGCGAGGGAAGGUCACAAUAGCUGCUCUAUCUGCAGAGGCGCCUGCCUCCUCCCUCCCUGGGUCUCAGAGAAGCAGAGAAAGAAGGGGGAGGGGCGCCGGCCGCCGACGGCGCCCAGGGCCGGGGGCCUCUCUUCUUGGGGAAGAGUUGCAGCGGUACUUGCAAGAGGAAGUUGGGUGGGGUAAGAAAUCUCCACCCUAGCUCCUGCCUCUCAAGUGUUCCGGGGGGCAAAGGGAAGGCACCAAGGCCUCGAAGUUGCUCGAGGCCUCCCUGCUCCACGCUUCCUUGAGGGUGCCCAGAGCAGCCAGAAGCCGGGAACACGCACGCCAUUGUGUGCGCUGCUUCCCCAUGGGUUCUACAGCAGAGAAGGCCGUAUGUAGGCAGCACAGGCUGGUGGCCGGAGGCAGGGUGGAAUAGCCUGCUGCACAGCAGGGGUUGGAGUGAGAAAUAAUUUAAGCCGAAGGAGAGAGUUCCUUGCAACCAGGAAAAACUCAGGAUCCAGUCUGCAGUAGAGGGCCUAGAAUGGAGCUAACCAGGAAAUUGCAGAAGCUGCUGAGGAACAGGCCUUGAAGAGUAGUCCUGGCACUGGUAAGGAGGUAAGAGAGGGCAAUUAACUACAUAUUCUGCCUUCUGGUUUGCAGACUUCAGCCUCAUCCCGGGACCUGACAGAGAAAUAUCCACCUCCAAUGGAAUCAUUAAGUUAACCGACCAUUUGUACCAUUUCUUUGUACAGGCUUUCAAAUGAGAGAGGGGAAGAUAAUAUAAAGAAAGUACAUUCCCUUUGGUGCAGCCCCAAACCCAUCCCUAUCAAAGACACAUCAGCCAAAUUGGUUUCCCAGGCCCCAGAGGCCGCUCACCUUGCUGAACAACAUGUAUUGAAUUUCUAUCUGUAAGAACUAUUAAAA